RNAcentral lists this ribosomal RNA (468 nucleotides) under uncultured bacterium. RNAcentral describes it as "partial 16S ribosomal RNA". It matches the Rfam family "Bacterial small subunit ribosomal RNA", at positions 28 to 507 of the family's 1533-position model. The record is from RNAcentral.
GACGAACGCUGGCGGCGUGCUUAACACAUGCAAGUCGAACGGAAAGGCCCUGCUUUUGUGGGGUGCUCGAGUGGCGAACGGGUGAGUAACACGUGAGUAACCUGCCCUUGACUUUGGGAUAACUUCAGGAAACUGGGGCUAAUACCGGAUAGGAGCUCCUGCUCCAUGGUGUGGGUUGGAAAGUUUCGGCGGUUGGGGAUGGACUCGCGGCUUAUCAGCUUGUUUGUGGGGUAGUGGCUUACCAAGGCUUUGACGGGUAGCCGGCCUGAGAGGGUGACCGGCCACAUUGGGACUGAGAUACGGCCCAGACUCCUACGGGAGGCAGCAGUGGGGAAUAUUGCACAAUGGGCGGAAGCCUGAUGCAGCAACGCCGCGUGCGGGAUGACGGCCUUCGGGUUGUAAACCGCUUUCGCCUGUGACGAAGCGUGAGUGACGGUAAUGGGUAAAGAAGCACCGGCUAACUACGUG